AGGUGUUGGGACUUUGAUGGGAAAAAGGUGAAGCAAAAUGUGGUAAACAGGAAUGAAAAGCCAGAAUGAAUAAAGGAAGCCUUCAUUGUUCUGACUGGGGCCUGAGCAGUGAGCAGAAUGGAAUGUCUAUCAGGACAGCCGUAGAUUUCCACAGCUUCCUGCUUUCGUCAGCUUCAGCUUAACAUCUAUUAUUGUGAAGAGUAGGGUCUUCCAAGUUUAUAAGAAGAAUCAGAUUUCCAAGAGCAAUUUACCCCUUUCUUCAUUCUGUUAGGCAUUAUUUGGAAUGGCUUUUCUUCGAUGAAUUCAAUUAACAGGCUGGAGUGCAGCGGCGUGAUCUCGGCUCACUACAACCUCCACCUCCCGGGUUCAAGCGAUUCUUCUGCUUCAGCCUUCUCCUGAGCAGCUGGGAUUACAAGUGCGCACCAUCAUGCCUGGCUAAUUUUUGUAUUUUUAAUAGAGACGGGGUUUCUCCAUGUUGGCCAGGCUCGUCUCAAACUCCUGACCUCAGGUGAUCUGCCCACCUCGGCCUCCCGAAGUGCUGGGAUUACAGGUGUGAGCCACUGCACCCAGCCUAAAGAGAAUAUUUUCUCAAUUAAAAAUACUAUAGUCUUCAGAAAAGAAUCAAUUAAAGUGAUGAGAAAUUUCAAAUAUAUUAACUACAAACUGCAACUUUGAAAAAUAUUGCAGGCAAUUUUAUUAAGUUCUACAGAGAAAUGUCAGUAACAUGGUAUUAGAAAUAAAUAUAGCUGAUAAACAGAUUAAAGUUUAUGAAUAUAUACCAAGAAUAAUUAUUCUGCUUAUGUAAUUUUAAUUUUGGAAAACCAUUUUGAAAAGUUUGUUACAUGAAAUGUUAUUUUUAAAAGAAUUUCAUAUUUGAAAAUAGUUUGAAUAUAUAAUUUUUAAGUAUUUUCAAUGCAAUUAGUCCAAUUUUCUGAUCAAUAAAUAUCUUUUAAAAGUA
RNAcentral lists this long non-coding RNA (958 nucleotides) under Homo sapiens (human). RNAcentral's name for it is "PREDICTED lncRNA (TCONS_00270056)". Lineage: Eukaryota; Metazoa; Chordata; Mammalia; Primates; Hominidae. The record is from RNAcentral.